GACGGAGGGGGCAAGCGUUGUCCGGACUAACUGGGCGUAAAGGGUCCGUAGGUGGCCCGGCACGUCGGAGGUGAAAGCGCCAGGCUCAACCUGGCAGGGUCUUCCGAUACGGCUGGGCUGGAGGACGGCAGAGGGUGGUGGAAUUCCCGGUGUAGUGGUGAAAUGCGUAGAGCUCGGGAGGAACACCAGUGGCGAAAGCGGCCACCUGGGCCGGACCUGACACUGAGGGACGACAGCGUGGGGAGCGAACCGG
Molecule: ribosomal RNA, 253 nt
Filed under: uncultured bacterium
Lineage: Bacteria
Description: partial 16S ribosomal RNA
Rfam family: Bacterial small subunit ribosomal RNA
Source: RNAcentral